UUAAGUUAGAAAGGGCGCACGGUGGAUGCCUUGACACUAGGAGUCGAUGAAGGACGGGACUAACGCCGAUAUGCUUCGGGGAGCUGUAAGUAAGCUUUGAUCCGAAGAUUUCCGAAUGGGGAAACCCACCAUACGUAAUGGUAUGGUAUCCUUAUCUGAAUACAUAGGGUAAGGAAGACAGACCCAGGGAACUGAAACAUCUAAGUACCUGGAGGAAGAGAAAGCAAAUGCGAUUUCCUGAGUAGCGGCGAGCGAAACGGAACAUAGCCCAAACCAAGAGGCUUGCCUCUUGGGGUUGUAGGACAUUCUAUACGGAGUUACAAAGGAACGAGGUAGACGAAGCGACCUGGAAAGGUCCGUCGUAGAGGGUAACAACCCCGUAGUCGAAACUUCGUUCUCUCUUGAAUGUAUCCUGAGUACGGCGGAACACGUGAAAUUCCGUCGGAAUCUGGGAGGACCAUCUCCCAAGGCUAAAUACUCCCUAGUGAUCGAUAGUGAACCAGUACCGUGAGGGAAAGGUGAAAAGCACCCCGGAAGGGGAGUGAAAGAGAUCCUGAAACCGUGUGCCUACAAAUAGUCAGAGCCCGUUAACGGGUGAUGGCGUGCCUUUUGUAGAAUGAACCGGCGAGUUACGAUCCCGUGCGAGGUUAAGCUGAAGAGGCGGAGCCGCAGCGAAAGCGAGUCUGAAUAGGGCGUUUAGUACGUGGUCGUAGACCCGAAACCAGGUGAUCUACCCAUGUCCAGGGUGAAGUUCAGGUAACACUGAAUGGAGGCCCGAACCCACGCACGUUGAAAAGUGCGGGGAUGAGGUGUGGGUAGCGGAGAAAUUCCAAUCGAACCUGGAGAUAGCUGGUUCUCCCCGAAAUAGCUUUAGGGCUAGCCUUAAGUGUAAGAGUCUUGGAGGUAGAGCACUGAUUGGACUAGGGGUCCUCAUCGGAUUACCGAAUUCAGUCAAACUCCGAAUGCCAAUGACUUAUCCUUAGGAGUCAGACUGCGAGUGAUAAGAUCCGUAGUCAAAAGGGAAACAGCCCAGACCGCCAGCUAAGGUCCCAAAGUGUGUAUUAAGUGGAAAAGGAUGUGGAGUUGCUUAGACAACUAGGAUGUUGGCUUAGAAGCAGCCACCAUUUAAAGAGUGCGUAAUAGCUCACUAGUCGAGUGACUCUGCGCCGAAAAUGUACCGGGGCUAAAUACACCACCGAAGCUGCGGAUUGAUACCAAUGGUAUCAGUGGUAGGGGAGCGUUCUAAGGACAGUGAAGUCAGACCGGAAGGACUGGUGGAGUGCUUAGAAGUGAGAAUGCCGGUAUGAGUAGCGAAAGACGGGUGAGAAUCCCGUCCACCGAAUGCCUAAGGUUUCCUGAGGAGGCUCGUCCGCUCAGGGUUAGUCAGGACCUAAGCCGAGGCCGACAGGCGUAGGCGAUGGACAACAGGUUGAUAUUCCUGUACCACCUCUUUAUCGUUUGAGCAAUGGAGGGACGCAGAAGGAUAGAAGAAGCGUGCGAUUGGUUGUGCACGUCCAAGCAGUUAGGCUGAUAAGUAGGCAAAUCCGCUUAUCGUGAAGGCUGAGCUGUGAUGGGGAAGCUCCUUAUGGAGCGAAGUCUUUGAUUCCCCGCUGCCAAGAAAAGCUUCUAGCGAGAUAAAAGGUGCCUGUACCGCAAACCGACACAGGUAGGCGAGGAGAGAAUCCUAAGGGGUGCGAGAGAACUCUGGUUAAGGAACUCGGCAAAAUGACCCCGUAACUUCGGGAGAAGGGGUGCUUUCUUAACGGAAAGCCGCAGUGAAUAGGCCCAAGCGACUGUUUAGCAAAAACACAGCUCUCUGCGAAGCCGUAAGGCGAAGUAUAGGGGGUGACACCUGCCCGGUGCUGGAAGGUUAAGGAGAGGGGUUAGCGUAAGCGAAGCUCUGAACUGAAGCCCCAGUAAACGGCGGCCGUAACUAUAACGGUCCUAAGGUAGCGAAAUUCCUUGUCGGGUAAGUUCCGACCCGCACGAAAGGUGUAACGAUUUGGGCACUGUCUCAACCAGAGACUCGGUGAAAUUAUAGUACCUGUGAAGAUGCAGGUUACCCGCGACAGGACGGAAAGACCCCGUGGAGCUUUACUGUAGCCUGAUAUUGAAUUUUGGUACAGUUUGUACAGGAUAGGCGGGAGCCUUUGAAACCGGAGCGCUAGCUUCGGUGGAGGCGCUGGUGGGAUACCGCCCUGACUGUAUUGAAAUUCUAACCUACGGGUCUUAUCGACCCGGGAGACAGUGUCAGGUGGGCAGUUUGACUGGGGCGGUCGCCUCCUAAAGUGUAACGGAGGCGCCCAAAGGUUCCCUCAGAAUGGUUGGAAAUCAUUCGUAGAGUGCAAAGGCAUAAGGGAGCUUGACUGCGAGACCUACAAGUCGAGCAGGGACGAAAGUCGGGCUUAGUGAUCCGGUGGUUCCGCAUGGAAGGGCCAUCGCUCAACGGAUAAAAGCUACUCCGGGGAUAACAGGCUUAUCUCCCCCAAGAGUCCACAUCGACGGGGAGGUUUGGCACCUCGAUGUCGGCUCAUCGCAUCCUGGGGCUGUAGUCGGUCCCAAGGGUUGGGCUGUUCGCCCAUUAAAGCGGUACGCGAGCUGGGUUCAGAACGUCGUGAGACAGUUCGGUCCCUAUCCGUCGUGGGCGUAGGAAAUUUGAGAGGAGCUGUCCUUAGUACGAGAGGACCGGGAUGGACGCACCGCUGGUGUACCAGUUGUUCUGCCAAGGGCAUAGCUGGGUAGCUAUGUGCGGAAGGGAUAAGUGCUGAAAGCAUCUAAGCAUGAAGCCCCCCUCAAGAUGAGAUUUCCCAUAGCGUAAGCUAGUAAGAUCCCUGAAAGAUGAUCAGGUUGAUAGGUUCGAGGUGGAAGCAUGGUGACAUGUGGAGCUGACGAAUACUAAUAGAUCGAGGACUUAACCAU
This 2919-nucleotide ribosomal RNA is filed under the name Bacillus cereus 03BB108. RNAcentral describes it as "bacterial LSU rRNA". It matches the Rfam family "Bacterial large subunit ribosomal RNA". Lineage: Bacteria; Bacillati; Bacillota; Bacilli; Caryophanales; Bacillaceae. The record is from RNAcentral.